GGCUGUCGUCAGCUCGUGUCGUGAGAUGUUGGGUUAAGUCCCGCAACGAGCGCAACCCUCGUCCUAUGUUGCCACCAGGUAAUGCUGAGCACUCAUAGGAGACUGCCGGGGUCAACUCGGAGGAAGGUGGGGAUGACGUCAAGUCAUCAUGCCCCUUAUGUCCUGGGCUGCACACAUGCUACAAUGGCCGGUACAAAGGGCUGCGAUACCGCAAGGUGGAGCGAAUCCCAAAAAGCCGGUCUCAGUUCGGAUUGGGGUCUGCAACUCGACCCCAUGAAGUCGGAGUCGCUAGUAAUCGCAGAUCAGCAACGCUGCGGUGAAUACGUUCCCGGGCCUUGUACACACCGCCCGUCACGUCACGAAAGUCGGUAACACCCGAAGCCAGUGGCCCAACCCUUUUGGGAGGGAGCUGUCGAAGGUGGGACCGGCGAUUGGGACGAAGUCGUAACAAGGUAGCCGUACCGGAAGGUGCGGCUGGAUCACCUCCUUUCUAAGGAGCAACUGGCGGCAAGCCUCGUGCUUGUCGUCCAGAGCCAUGCCUGUGCCAUUCAGCGCACAGGAUGGUGCUCAGGAGUGGAACACUGACCAUUCGGCCCGACGCUCUUGCGUCCCAGUUCAGUACGACCUCUUGAGGUUGGAACGAUGGGGUGUUCGAGGGAAGGGCUUAGGCACGCUGUUGAGUCCUGAGGGAGCGAAGCUUCCUUAGGGCGUAUGGACCCGCCGGCUACGGCCGCGGGUCCAUUGCCACGAUCGGACCAUUUCUUCGCUGAACGACGCACUUCUUGUGCGCACGCAGCGGCCUCGAAGUGGGACCGCCCGUAAUUUGAGAACUGCACAGUGGACGCGAGCAUCUUUGUGGCCAAGUUAGUAAGGGCACACGGUGGAUGCCUUGGCACCAGGAGCCGAUGAAGGACGUAGGAGGCUGCGAAAAGCCUCGGGGAGCUGCCAACCAAGCUUUGAUCCGAGGAUUUCCGAAUGGGGAAACCCGG
Molecule: small RNA, 989 nt
Filed under: uncultured Actinomycetales bacterium
Lineage: Bacteria; Bacillati; Actinomycetota; Actinomycetes; Actinomycetales
Description: bacterial SSU rRNA
Rfam family: Bacterial small subunit ribosomal RNA (bases 1-490)
Source: RNAcentral